RNAcentral lists this transfer RNA (56 nucleotides) under Pseudomugil pellucidus (transparent blue-eye). Its description in RNAcentral is "tRNA-Val". The record is from RNAcentral. Lineage: Eukaryota; Metazoa; Chordata; Actinopteri; Atheriniformes; Pseudomugilidae.
UAAACACUAUAGCAUCUCCCUUACACUGAGAAGUACCCCGUGGAAUUCGGGUAGUC